Non-coding RNA from Paramuricea clavata, 78 nucleotides. The record is from the annotation of a GenBank genome assembly. NCBI's taxonomy places the organism in Eukaryota, Metazoa, Cnidaria, Anthozoa, Malacalcyonacea, Plexauridae.
GCCCGCGCGGGCAAAGCGACUGCAAUGGAAAAUUCCCUUAAGGCCAUUUUCCAUUGCGGUCGCUUUGCUCGCGCGGGC